CUCUCUCACGUACGUCUCUCUCACUCUCGAGAUUUCUUCAUCUUCCUCCCCAAGUCCUAGCCAUCUUCUUCUUCCUCAAGACUUGGGGUGGGCUAGGGUUUGAAUCCGAGGAGGAAGAAUGGGUGUGAAAGAAGAGCUUAGGGAUGGAUUUUUGCUUAAGGGAGAUGACAAUGAAGGUUCCCCGUUGAAGUGGCUAGCUUAAGAGUGAACUUUAGAUUGGAUGCUUGCUUUUGGAGCUUAGCUCAAGGAUCUGGACUUGUGGCUAGUUGAGAGCGUGGCAUAGAACUUGUAAGCCCCGAGAAAUGUUCAUGUCAUAGUUUGUGUAGAUUGGACUUGAAUUGUCUUGUAGUUAGUUGUGAUUUGAAUAAAGGAAUAUUGUACUGGAAGUUGUAAAUAGAAACUUUUGUAGCCUGUGCGUUUGGGCUUAGUUGUGACCCAAGCGUGGCAUGACACCCCUUAGUUUGGUUUUUGAGUUCGCUUCCGCAAUUGAAAUCCUUUAGAAAUCUAUAUUAUAUCUAUAUUUUCUCCA
This is a long non-coding RNA of Ipomoea triloba (trilobed morning glory), 529 nucleotides long. RefSeq lists it as uncharacterized. The record is from RefSeq and is a predicted model, not a curated record. The transcript is spliced from 4 exons. NCBI's taxonomy places the organism in Eukaryota, Viridiplantae, Streptophyta, Magnoliopsida, Solanales, Convolvulaceae.